UACGGAGGGUGCAAGCGUUAUCCGGAUUCACUGGGUUAAAGGGUGCGUAGGCGGCUUGAUAAGUCAUUGGUGAAAGCUCGCAGCUUAACUGCGAAACUGCCAUUGAAACUGUCAAGCUUGAAUGUGGUUGAAGUGGGCGGAAUACAACAUGUAGCGGUGAAAUGCUUAGAUAUGUUUAGAACACCGAUUGCGAAGGCAGCUCACUAAGCCAAUAUUGACGCUGAGGCACGAAAGCGUGGGUAGCGAACAGG
Molecule: ribosomal RNA, 251 nt
Filed under: uncultured bacterium
Lineage: Bacteria
Description: partial 16S ribosomal RNA
Rfam family: Bacterial small subunit ribosomal RNA
Source: RNAcentral